Molecule: non-coding RNA, 121 nt
Filed under: Microcebus murinus (gray mouse lemur)
Lineage: Eukaryota; Metazoa; Chordata; Mammalia; Primates; Cheirogaleidae
Description: Small Cajal body specific RNA 1 (ENSMICG00000024879.3)
Rfam family: Small Cajal body specific RNA 1
About the family: scaRNAs are a specific class of small nuclear RNAs which localise to the Cajal bodies and guide the modification of RNA polymerase II transcribed spliceosomal RNAs U1, U2, U4, U5 and U12. ACA35 belong to the H/ACA box class of guide RNAs as it has the predicted hairpin-hinge-hairpin-tail structure, conserved H/ACA-box motifs and is found associated with GAR1.
Source: Rfam by way of RNAcentral
AGGUAUAAGAUAUAAUCCCAGGUAGCUGGGUUUAAGAAGUGCAAUAUUAAAACAAAAGCCAUGAGACUUGUAAGCCCAGUGUGUAAAGAUACACUCUGAGUUAUAACUCAGAGGCACAGUU